GUUCCUCCAACGUAGACGAACACCGGUUAGGUCCAUCCGCUAUCGACUCGAUCCUCUCGGCUAUCGCUCAAGCCAAAGCGGAAGCCAAUCCCGGCUCCGCUCUUAUCACCACUUCUCAUGGCAAAUUCUUCUCCAACGGCUUCGACCUCGCCUGGGCCCAAGCCGCUGGCUCCCGAACCGGCGCCCGGGAACGCCUCCACUACAUGUUCAAAUCCUUCAGGCCGCUUGUAGCCGCCAUGAUGGAUCUACCUAUGCCUACUGUGGCCGCCGUGAACGGCCACGCAGCCGCCGCGGGGUUCAUUCUGGCUUUGAGCCAUGAUUACGUCGUCAUGAGGCGUGAUAAGGGCGUGCUGUACAUGAGCGAGGUGGAUAUCGGGCUCACCUUGCCGGAUUAUUGUGCUGCUCUGUUUAGGGAAAAGGUCGGAUCGGCUACGGCUCGGCGCGAUGUGUUGUUGAGGGCUAAGAAGAUCAAGGGAGAGGAGGCGUUGAGGAUGGGUCUCGUGGAGGCAGCAUACGAUAGCGAGGAACGAGUGGCCGAGGCUAGUAUGCGCCUGGGGAAGCAGUUGGCUGGUAGAAAGUGGGCUGGUGAGGUGUAUGCGGAAAUAAGGAAGAGUUUGUACCCGGACUUAUGUGGCGUGCUGGGAUUGGACAUCAAGGCUGUUUUUUCCAAUUCUAAACUUUGAAUUUGAUUAAACGCGAAAAUAACUACGAAGUUUAGAGUUGAAUAAUAAUUAUUCAAUCAUGCCCAAGAAUUUGGGAUACGAAAGAAUUUCAGAAUUCGGAGAUGCUUGUACAAUAAUAAAGAAAGAUUUAAAGAGAUAGAGUUAUAUUUUUUCUUUUUGAAGAAAAUAAGCUAACAUUUCCUUCAUUACAAGUGAAAAUUAGUACAUCUUCACAUUUAGUACAAAUAUAAAAUUAUACAAACAAUCUCGAUAGAUAUCUUUACAAGUACACAAUUGUUGAAUUAAUAUAUUUUUCACACUUAAGAACAAGUGAAAAAAUCAGCACAUUAAAGAUACUUCAGUGAAGUAGCUAUUCCGACGAAGGAGAUGUACCCAACAGAAAGCCAUUCACCAAAUAAAGUUCUUUCAUGGUACCCUGUCUUUAGAUUUGAUACUUCAACUAGUUCAGGAAUAGAUUUUCUGUCUUGAUCCACUUGUUAUAGCCAUGAAAAAGAUGUAAGAUACAGGAGAAACGGUGCCUGCAGCUCUCACAAGCUGAUUCAAUAUAUUUUCCGUUAGAUUUUAAUUGGUAGUAUUUCGGAUACAUCAAAACAACUACAGCCUUGAAGAUGUAUGUAACACGAAAGAUGUUAACAUAAUUUUUUAUAGAAAUUAUAAUAAAAUCUACUUUGUUUAAAUUAAAAAAUACAAAAUUAAUUAGAUAUAAAGGAAUAAUAUUUUUAUGAAUUGAUUGUUUUAUAUCUUUAAAAUAAUUAAUUGAUAAAAUUAUAUAUAUAUUAACAGAUAAAAUUAUAAAUAUAUAUGUAUAAAAUAAUUCUGUAAUAUGAGGAUGCACUAACAGAUUAAAAAAAUAUAAAGUUCAAUAACAGAUAAAUACACACAAUUGUCCAAUUUUCAAUAAUUUAUUUUUGAAAGAUUUUAAUAUAAGUUAUCUCUUUAUUUCUUUACUUCAAUUUUCAUACAUAUUCCAAGAACACUAUCAUAAGUACUUUAUAUUAAUGGGAUGUUUGAUAUUUAGAAGUUGUGACUUUUAAUCUACAUUGUUAUACAUUGUUAUAUAAGUAACCGUCAUGUUACAUAUAAUAUAACUUACCGCAACUCAAAAGUAGUUACUCAAUACCAAAAAUUAUAACAUUUAAAAUAAGUAGGAGGUCAUAGGUAACUAUUUUUAGAUUUAUUGUAAGUUACAUAUGAUAUAACUUUUAGCAAGAUCCUAUUACAUAUCAAUAAUAUUGACUCUUGAUAUAUAGCAUACUAUAUGCUGUACAUGCAAUUACUUUAAGAAAGAAGAAAUAUUGUUCUUUUGAAUUGAAAGCUUAUUGAUCUUGAUAUUUCUCCCAUAGUUUUUUUAUUCAACAAUUUGGAGGAUCUUUGUUGCAAUCAAAGCGUCUUUGUUGACCAAGAUGGUAUGCUCUCGCUUGCUCAGUGUCUCUUCUUCUUUGUGGUCUAUAUGCAACGAAAAUUUUCAUCUUAUUUUCUCCUUGUGGUGUUAAAAUUACAUUAACACCAUUGAAGAUAAAUUUCACAUAUGCCACUAGCUCAUUACGUACGUUGUUAAGAUAAAGUAAUUUUUGCCACUUAGCCUUUAGCAAAGUGGUGAAUCACUUUCCUCAAAGUUAAGCAUAACUAUAAGGGUAGUGGUUCGAGUCUCUAUGGACUCAACCUCCCACAAUUAAACUUAAUUGUGUGAAGUUUAUUUACAAGUCUUCCUCCCUUGCGAAAUACGAAUGGAGCAAAGAUAUCACUUCUCUGUGAGGGUUAUAUGUUUGAGCAUGUAUUUUAUAAAAUUUAAUUUAAUAAUGUAAGUCUCAAUUAUAUAUCUGAUUGUAAAUAUCAGUGUAACGAUCUAUUGAUAUAGCAGUUAUAAAUAUUUGUAUAAUACAAUAAUCUGAUGUGUAAUCAGUAUUUAAAAAAAAGAUAAAAUAAUUUUCAAUAUUUGCUGAGAGUGCAUAGAAAAAAUCUAAAAUCGGAGAAUGUGAAGUUGUGGUAUAUUUUUAUUAAUUUUUGUAAUUCAAUUAACUUAUGCCAAGGGCCUAUUAUUUUUCGUCCUUUUCCGAGGUGGUACUAGGCCUAGCUAAGACCAAGACUUCUUGUAACAUCCCGAAAGAUAUUUACCGACUAUGAUCUGAAUAAGGACUAAACACUAUAUUAUAAAAAAAAAUUUAUAAAAUAUAUUUAUUUCCUAAACUAUAAAACUUAAUUUUUUUUUAUUUGAUUUAUAAUAACAUAAAUGUCAAAUAAUCAUAUUUAAGAUUUUUUUAUUUACAAAAACUAAGAAGAUGUCACUUAUAUUUAGUUAUUUAAAAGAGAAAAAUGAACAUUUCAUUCAAAUAUUCAUAUUUGGACCCGUUUAGACUUUGAAAAUUUUAAAUUUAUUUAGAUUUCAGACAAAAAUAAUAAUGCUAUCUAACUGUGGCUAUUUCUGGUACUUUGAUUAUGCAAUAUUUCUUUUUGUACAAAGAGGAGAGUUGCAAACUUUGUUGCAAUGUUUGCAUUAGACAGCAUGGAGGUCCUGUUUGAUAUUGAGAUAUUACGACUUUUAAGUUGUAGUUACUAUUAAAAAAAAAGAAAAUAAAAUAAAAAAAAGUUAUAGUUAUGAAACAAAAGUUAAUAGUGUGUGGUAAAUAUAACUUUUAAAUAACAAUUUUUAAAAAAUUGUAAAGAUAUCAUAGUGUUUUAUCCUACGAAUGUAUAAUUAAAUCAACUUACCUUCUAAAACUUAGUUUCUAAACUAUAGCAAUAAGUAUUUACUAAACGUUAACACUUUAAGUAUUAUAACUUGGAAGAUGCAAUUCUCCAAUCACACUACCAAAUAAGGCAUUUAUUAAUAAAAUAUUAACAUUUGUAUCUUAUAAUUAGAGAAUAUGAUGCAAGGUUAGGAACAAACUUUGAUCUGCUGAGGUGAUAGUGUCUUCGACCAUUGAAAAUGAGUUGUGUUUGCCAAAUUCAAGUGUUGUCGUUACAGUAUAUAAAGAGUUGAGAUUGAGCAUUUUGGUCCUAUUUGGUAUUCAAGUACCAUAUCUUUUAAGUUACAGGUUACCACUUGCUGUAGAAAAAAAAUUAUAAUUAUAAAAUAAAAGUUAAUAGUAUGUAGUAAGUAAAAAUUUUUAAAUAACAAUUUUGACAAGAUUAAUAAAAAUAUAAUAGAUUUUUUAUCAUACAAGUAUAAAGUCAAACCAACUUAAUUUUCAAGAUAUAACAGCUAAUGUUUACUAAACAUGCACAUUAAAGUUGUAGCUCUGUUCAGCCUCAAUCACAAACAGGGCCUUUGGAUCAAGAACGGAGAAUGCAAGAAUCUAGUGAAGGGAACCUAUGUCUAUCUUCACAUCCCAAUACAAUUUCAAUCUAUUAUUAAAAUGUAAUCUUUUACAUACUAUAAUGAAAUGAAACUUAAGAUUGAGCCAAAUCUUAAUAAUAUCAUAAUAUUUCUCCAUUUUCUUUUGCAGGACUUCCCUAGUGAAUGAGCAAAAGAAUGGGUAUCUUCCCUAGUGAAUGAGCAAAAGAAUGGGUAUCCGGUGAAUGAAAUUUGCAUGGAAGAAGACUGAGAUUGGAAAUUCUCUUGGAAUUUCUGAAGCACUAUAACAAGAAAUUAAGAUUGACUUAUUACACUUGUAAUUGACUUAUCAAAAUUUUGAUUGUUCCGACUUGAUGAAUGGUUAAUUGGUAAAGAUUUUGCCUGAUUAUGUGCUUGAUCUUGAUUGUUUUUCACUGGAAAGAAACAAAAGUUAUUUUGGGCUCUAUUUGUCACAACGCAAGCAGUGGGUUUUGUUGGAUUGAAUAUUGCAAAGACAUCCCUUAAUUAUAAGAGCAGCACUGUAAUCAUGGGUUAAGACUUAUGUUGAGAAAGUUUGGGAAGAUUCACCUUCACAACACCCCUAAUAAGAAAAAAUAAAAACAAAACCCAAAGCGAAAAAAUCCCUACGAAAAUAAUCAUAUUCUUCAUAAUCUAUAUAUAUUUCAUGUUUCUAUCUUUUCAACUUCAAGUCUUCAAUGUUCAAAACUCUUAUACAUGUAUUGGAAAACACACCCUAACCCUAUCCCAGCCAACACACAAACAUAAAUACAACAAAAAUGAUAUGCAAUCCAUCAUUGAAUCCCACAUGAUGAACCUCAUUCUAGUGAGCUCUUGUUUUUAUUUAUUUUUGAGAAUUUUUUAAUUCUUUUUUUACCUACGUAGGGUUUCAUCUAAGGGGUUCAAUGACGAUUAUAAGAAUUACAAUAUAGAUUAUGAAAUAUUUAAGUUAAAAUUACUUAAUAUAUAACAAUAGUUGAUGGUGACAUAUUAUUUAAAAUAAAAAGUUUGCACCAAAAUUUUGAAAAUAUAACAUUUUAUGAACAAGCAAAAUUAAACAUGUUUCAUUUUUUUUUCUUAUAAUUUGAAAAUUUAUUUUAUUUUCAAUUGACUAUAAUUUUAGAAGUAUUUUUUAAAAGAAUUUUAAGAGUACAAUACGAACAAAAAGCAUAGAUCCUUGAUAAAAUCUAAAACAUAAUCAAAUGACAAAUUUUAUCAUGAUUUGUUUUUCCGCAUGUCAGUAAAUGUACUAUAGAUUUGGGAUUAUGGAUGUGCACAUUAAACUUAAACAAAUAAAUAUUAGAAAGCAAAAACAUGUGAGUCACGUGCUAAAUAAAUAAACAAGAAAGAUCAUAUUAAAUGAAAAAAGAAAUGAACUACUGAGAUUAGAUCAGGAAUGAUCUAAUGUUCCCUAGUCGAAAGUUCCUACAAAUAGAAAUAUUGAACUAUUUGAAAGGGAGGGACAAAGAUUCUCAUAAGAGAGUUAACAGAUUCUCUCUAGAGAGAGAAAAAUAUUCUCUAAACUGAAGCUUCUUGAACCUCGUAUUUUCUAAGGAACCAAAUGCUGACUUGAAUGUCAGAGUACCUUUUACAAGUACCAAAUCAUUGCUCGAAGCUUUGGAAGCUUGAAGAUGAAGGACAUAAUCAUCGUUUUCGGGUAUUAAAGGAAAUUUGCUCGUUUGCUAGCAAAGGUAGAAGCAACUUUGAGUUGGAAAUUUGCUCUUUCUCUAGCCUAAAUUACAAUUGGUAUUAUUGUAAUACGACAAUUAAAAAUUACUUUUACACACACACAAAUAUUAAAAGUCGACUUAUAUUUAUAUAUGAAAUUAGAUAGAUCAAAUAAAUUAUGAUAGUCUCAAUUUCUACUUUCAUAAAUAUUAAAACAAAAGUCUUUAUUUUGCCUACUAACCACAGGAAAAAAAAAAAACCUAACUUCCCUGAAUUUUAAAUUAGAAAAAGAAAUGUUGAGUCUGUUAGCAGGACUCCAAGCAUCCGCCUAAUACCAGGAGCCGAGUGGAAAAUUACUUUUAAAAUAUUUUCCCCAAAAAAAAAUAUUACUUGAAGAAGCCUAUCCGAGUAGACGGCUUCAACUUGACAUCUUACAAUAGGAGGUUGCUAUGUUACAGAUUUUGUAACAUACGCACCCAAUGCAUGCACCACACCUGUCCUGCAUAUGGAGAAAAAACAUACAACUAUUUUUAUUUGGUUGCUAGCUACCCAAUCAGAAGCUGGCUAAGUUGGAUCUGUAUGUUACAGAAUCUGUAACUUAGCCAGCUCCCUUACAAUAACUCGUAACAAAUAUCUGAUCGAAAAAUGUGCACUUUAGAGAAACACGGCGACGUUUUUGUCCUAACCUUAACCGGUUCCUCCGACGUUGACGAACACCGGUUCGGUCCAUCCGCAAUCGACUCGAUCCUCUCGGCUAUUGCCAAAGCCGAAGCCGAAGCAACUCCCGGCUCCGCUCUUAUUACCACUUCUCAUGGCAAAUUCUUCUCCAACGGCCUCGACCUCGCCUGGGCCCAAGCCGCCGGCUCACGAGCCGGCGCCCGGGAACGCCUCCUCUACAUGGUCGAAUCCUUCAGGCCGGUGGUAGCCGCCAUGAUGGAUCUACCUAUGCCUACCGUGGCCGCCGUCAACGGCCACGCAGCCGCCGCAGGGUUCACACUGGCUUUGAGCCAUGAUUACGUCAUCAUGAGGCGUGAUAAGGGCGUGCUAUACAUGAGCGAGGUGGAUAUCGGGGCCAGUCUGCCGGAUUAUUUU
RNAcentral lists this long non-coding RNA (6735 nucleotides) under Citrus maxima (pomelo). RNAcentral's name for it is "long non-coding RNA (CMAX_LNC003650)". The record is from RNAcentral. Lineage: Eukaryota; Viridiplantae; Streptophyta; Magnoliopsida; Sapindales; Rutaceae.